UGCAUCUUAACUACGUCUACCAUAUAAGCAGAACUCAGACCACUACUCGAUGCUGGACCGUUGAACUACUCCAUUCUCGACCAACUCCGCCUGCUCUCUCUGGAUUCUGUCUGAACCUUCAGUCCGUCAUCCACAGUCAACCUGGUAUUUUCCAGAUUCCAUCCCUGGAUCAUCACCACCUGGCCCCUGCACCUGCGCUAGACGCCAUUCCAUCACACUUUCACUCCUGCCCUUUCUGCCUAAAAAACUAGUACAAACCAAGUCUCUGAUUUCCUCUCCAACAACGACUUACAUGACCCAAAUCAGCCUGGUUGUAGCUUGUAUUGCUUCUGUCACACGGCACUUUGGCCUUCACAGCCAAGUUAGACAUUGAAGACAGCUACCCCUGUCACUCUGGAGUCCUCAAGUUUCGCAGUGUGCUGGUGAAUGAAGGAGAUGGCUACAAUCCUGAAACGGGCAUCUUCACCUGCCCUGUGGACGGCCUCUAUUACUUCACUGUGCAUGCGUCUGUAUAUGGCCGUGGACAGUGUGCCAUAUACAAGAAUGGGGAGACAGUGGCUUCUCUGUAUCACACCUCUUUGCCUGACAAAUGUAGCCAAGUGGCCAGUACCAGCAGCGUGGUCAAACUGUCGAAAGAUAAUGAUGUGUGGGUGAACAUUUGGGGUCCUGGUAGAAAUGAUAUUUUUGCAACUGAAGAUAACGACACUGUGUUUACUGGAUUUCGUUUGGGUUGAUGACAUUUGGUGUCAUUAAUCCAAGCCAGCACCACAUGAUUGCUGUUUUUAUGUUAGGUACUUGCAUGUUUUACUGGUUUCUAUCAGUGCGCUUUUGUUGGGGUUUUAUGGUGUUUUCAAGAUGGAUGUGAAAAUUUUGCAGGUUGUUUUCUGACAGAAUAAAGCAAAAAUUAUUAAAACCUUGUCAUUUUGCAUCAAUAAAUGUAAAAAUUUGC
Amphiprion ocellaris (clown anemonefish) is the source of this 949-nucleotide long non-coding RNA. The record is from Ensembl. NCBI's taxonomy places the organism in Eukaryota, Metazoa, Chordata, Actinopteri, Pomacentridae.